RNAcentral lists this ribosomal RNA (253 nucleotides) under uncultured bacterium. RNAcentral's name for it is "partial 16S ribosomal RNA". It matches the Rfam family "Bacterial small subunit ribosomal RNA", at positions 524 to 776 of the family's 1533-position model. The record is from RNAcentral.
UACAGAGGGUGCGAGCGUUGUCCGGAAUUAUUGGGCGUAAAGCGCGUGUAGGCGGCCAGGUAGGUCCGACGUGAAAACUGGAGGCUCAACCUCCAGCUGUCGUUGGAAACCAUCUGGCUAGAGUCCGGAAGAGGAGAGUGGAAUUCCUGGUGUAGCGGUGAAAUGCGCAGAUAUCAGGAAGAACACCAAUGGCGAAGGCAGCUCUCUGGGACGGUACUGACGCUGAGACGCGAAAGCGUGGGGAGCGAACAGG